UGUGAAAAGGACCCAGUAGAGCAAUAUUGCAUUGCUUAUGGAUUAUUGGUUACUUUCAGGAUUUAAACAAAGAUUCUAAGUAUUUAGACUGCUUUCAUUGUAUUUUAUAUUUAAAUAUCUCCCUACCUGUAUUGAGUUAAGCUACUUGAGCAAAAUGUCUGAUUUAGGGAAGCAUUUCAUUUUAUAGCAAAAGUUUUUCCAUCUACAGUUACCAUCUGCAAUGGAAUUUACAUUACGGUGCUGACAAAAACCUCCUGGUUCCUUUUGAACAAUGUGCAAUGAAUUCAUUAUGUCAACCCCAUGACUGCUGUGCUCUCCUCGGAGCUGAGUGUGUGGACUGUGCAGCUCAUCGGAUGUGCCCACAAACACACUGGUGCCCACGGGCACACUUCCAAGUUGAACAGGGCGCUGACCCCAUGGGAGGAAAGGAAGAAGGAGGAAGGAAGACAAAGUUUCCUGAUUCCUGCCCCAGACUCAGACCUUCUUUCAGCUGGUGUGAUCUGCCCUAGGGACCCUAGGAAAAGGCUCUCACCAGGGCACUUGGGCACGUCCACAAAUGCUUCAGUUCCAAAACACAAAGGAUGAAGAAAUCAGAAAAGUCCCCAAUGCCACCGGCCACCUUCAGGGAGAGCCUGGCCGUCCAGACAAGUCACUGGUCAGGUGCACAGCAGUGGGGAAGUGCUGUGUGCUGAAGACGUCUGCGUAGCUCCAGCCGGCUGCUCCUCCUGGACACCCAACAACCAGACCCUCUGUCGAGCUCGAUUGAACCCCUCCAGUGACUCGGAGGAGGCUAGGAGGCUCGGGCUCCUGUCACACAGAGCCUGGCACUUUCCUGUAAGCAUCGACAGCAGCAGAACCCGAUCAUGGCUCAGUCUCUGAGCAGAAUUCUGAUGAUCCUGCCACCUCAAGUGGACUCUUCUAAAUUAGCCAGCUCUCUGUCCCCAGAGUACUUGGAGAGGCUGCCCUGCUCCACCUCACUUCUGAAAUGGAAAUAGAUCCUUGCUCCCUGGGGUAAGGUUGGUCUUUGAGCCUGGAGUUCAAAAUGGGGCCUCUCUACAUGCUCCUCAUGUUUGAGUGUCUACCACAGAGUGUCAGAAAGAUACCGAUGGGCCAGGGGAUUCCCAGCAUUGAAAUCCAGUCUCAGAGACUGAGUACCUCCCACAACAGCACUGACCACUCCCGCCCGCUUUUAAGCCAGGUCAUUCCACCCUGCAGCUCACUCCAACGUCUAGUAGCAAGCCACCCAAGCACUAGGGUAGGAGAUUGAUGAGGGCUCCUCCCAGCCUCCCUUUAAAACAAUUACAAUAACAGUCAAGACUGCUUCUCACACUCCCCUCUGCCUCUGGGCCCUGAACCCUGGGACUGCACACCGGUUUGGACACGUGCACACACACUCUCCAACUCCUCUCAGCUCCGGGUCCUUCCCUCCAGCCUUUGGCCCAGGGCUCACUCCUUAGUGCCCCACACACCUCAGAAGCAGGCCUAGUUCAUUGUCUCCAAGACAUUCUGCAAAGGCCUCACUACCCCUGAAGGUUUAAGGGGCUGGGGAAAGGCCAGGGAGAGGCCAGGAAGGGCUGGGGAG
Piliocolobus tephrosceles (Ugandan red Colobus) is the source of this 1582-nucleotide long non-coding RNA. The record is from Ensembl. NCBI's taxonomy places the organism in Eukaryota, Metazoa, Chordata, Mammalia, Primates, Cercopithecidae.